Molecule: ribosomal RNA, 189 nt
Filed under: uncultured bacterium
Lineage: Bacteria
Description: partial 16S ribosomal RNA
Rfam family: Bacterial small subunit ribosomal RNA
Source: RNAcentral
UGAGUAACCUGCCCUUAACUCUGGGAUAAGCCUGGGAAACUGGGUCUAAUACCGGAUAUGACUCCUCAUCGCAUGGUGGGGGGUGGAAAGCUUUUUGUGGUUUUGGAUGGACUCGCGGCCUAUCAGCUUGUUGGUGAGGUAAUGGCUCACCAAGGCGACGACGGGUAGCCGGCCUGAGAGGGUGACCGC